AUGAACGCUGGCGGCUUGCCUAAUACAUGCCCGUCGAGCGCACAGACGAGGAGCUUGCUCCUCUGACGUUAGCGGCGGACGGGUGAGUAACACGUGGAUAACCUACCUAUAAGACUGGGAUAACUUCGGGAAACCGGAGCUAAUACCGGAUAAUAUAUUGAACCGCAUGGUUCAAUAGUGAAAGACGGUUUUGCUGUCACUUAUAGAUGGAUCCGCGCCGCAUUAGCUAGUUGGUAAGGUAACGGCUUACCAAGGCAACGAUGCGUAGCCGACCUGAGAGGGUGAUCGGCCACACUGGAACUGAGACGCGGUCCAGACUCCUACGGGAGGCAGCAGUAGGGAAUCUUCCGCAAUGGGCGAAAGCCUGACGGAGCAACGCCGCGUGAGUGAUGAAGGUCUUCGGAUCGUAAAACUCUGUUAUUAGGGAAGAACAAAUGUGUAAGUAACUAUGCACGUCUUGACGGUACCUAAUCAGAAAGCCACGGCUAACUACGUG
Molecule: ribosomal RNA, 496 nt
Filed under: uncultured bacterium
Lineage: Bacteria
Description: partial 16S ribosomal RNA
Rfam family: Bacterial small subunit ribosomal RNA
Source: RNAcentral